ACACUUUAAACAACUCAACAUCCACUCAAAAUUUCUUAUAAAAGUCGUAUUUAAAAUUCCAACUUGUUCAAUAAUAGCGUGUUAUCUUUUUAAUAUGAUUUUCAUCACUCAAAUCUUAUAAAAUGGAUACUUUAGCCCAUGUUUUGGAGAUUCAUAAACAAUAACAAAUCGAGUUUUUGUCAACUACUCACUCCGACCACUUCUAUAAAUUACUCACUCAAUAAUUAACAUUCUAUUAGUUUUUUUGGUUUUUCACCAGAUUUUUAAUGCCCGUAUUAGGGCCCGAUGAAAUCCGAAUUCACACCAAAAAGUCAUUCAGACUCGAACUUGAGAUCUCUUGUAACAAGAAUGAAAGACAGUAAAGCUAGAAUUGUAAAAAAUUCCUUCUUAUUUUCUAAAACAUCAAACUAUUUAUGCAUCAGAAGGGGAAAUAGCUGGCCGUCUCAAAACUGCAUAUUAAUUUCUCUAUUGCAAAACAAAUGCCUUUUUUCUAAGGGCGCAUACUUUUCUCUACCUAUUACAAACAACAAAACAGUUGAAAUGGGCUCUACUUAUCAGCUCAGUUCAUCUCUCCAUGCAGUUCCUGGCUUACAAGCAGCAAGAGUGCCAGAUAGUGGAAGGACACAUUUUAUUUCUUAUGUUUUUACUAUCCUGCAUAAAUGAAAACGAUAAUCAGUUAAUUUAUGACCGUAAAAGUACCGAUAACUACAGAAGGAACGAAUAACAUUAGCAAAACUUCUUGAAUUCAAAUGCAAACAACAGUGUAAUCAUACAAGUAGGUCAGGAGAGGGUACGAUGUACGCAGACCUUACCCUUACCUUUGUCGGGGUAGAGAAAUUGUCUCCAAUAACCCCUCGCCUCAAUGCAAGCACAUCCUUUGAAUGCAUAUGAAUAAUUAACAAUAGUUGCCCCAUGAAAUUAUAUUAUGGUCCGCAGGGAAAUGGUUUAUUCAGGAAGGCAGGGCUAGAAUACAACUCCAAGCUGAGGUCUUUUUUUCCUUUCUAAUAUGACAGGGAAAAGAACAAAGGUUUAUCGACACCAAUUAUCCUAUAAAAACACAAUACAGAAAAGUAUGUCUAAAAAGGAAGUACCAGAACUUGCCUGCUCUUGCUUUCUUGAAGCCAGAGGCAAUUCUAAGAAGAUGUUACUGACUAAUUUCACAGACUGACUCUGUCCUUUGAAGAAUUUUUGUUCUUUUCUUGGAGUGGGUGAGGAUGGGGGAGGGAUGAUCCCUUUGGGAAGUUCGAUUUACAGUUAACUGAAACUAUCAACCACGAACUCCUAUAGGAAAAUAUCUUGCAUUAGACAUAUAAGCCCAAACUGAUUGUCCUUCCAUACCUUUGGUUCAUUAAAUACUGCUCACUCUGGAAAGAAAGGUUCCUCAUUCUAAAUAAUACUUUCCAAUCACAUAAGAUGAUAAAUGUACUAGACAAACCACUUCUAUAUAGUUCCAAGUUAAAUUUAUCAAAUCAUAACUUCAUGCAUAUUUAUCGAUCACUCAAUAUAGACAACUGUGUACAAUUCUAUCUCAGUUUCAUGCCUAGUGAAGUUAUAAAAUCUCUGUGGAGUUUAUCUACCUGAUGCAAAAGCUCAUAUGGUCAUUGUUUAUGUCAUUAACAUCUACAGGAUAUGUCACAGUUCAUAAUGAAGACAGAGAAUGCACAACCAACAUGUGCUAAGACUGACCAAAGACACAUGCCUUCUUAGUUUAAUACUCUAGUUUGUUUCGAGUAUUACAUCAUAUAGAAGGCUGCUUAGCUAACGACAGUGGGAAUGUCAGGGAUUUUAGGUGACAGAUAUAAGAUAUCCUUCCAUAAACCUCGUAUUAGACUGUAGACUACAAAACAAGGAGGAGCACCGUGCUUCCAAAGCGGAUUCUAGCAUCUUAUAUAGAAAGCUUAUGUCGAGAAUACAAUCAUUUAACAUUUGCCUAUCCAAAACCUCAAUCAGUUGACAGAAGAAUCUUGACGUCUCCACAGAGAGGUCAAAAGUAAAAUCCAUCCAGAGUAUCUGAACAAGCUUGUAAAGAAAUUGUAUGGUUCAAAGAUGCAGCCAAGGUGUAUAUAACAAUACCAGCGUUCUCUUCUCGAUUUACUACUAAACAAUCUUCAGUCAUUUUGUUAAAACAAGACAAGUUCCCUAUCGAUGUCACAUACUUAAUUAUCUCUCCCUACAUACUAGCAAUCACAUAGGGGCAACCUAUAACCAAAUAAAUAACGGGUAAAAAGGCAGCACAAGUUUAACUCCAAGAUGAAUAUGGCCAAAAUGCAAAGAAGAAAACUUGUAGAAUUUCACAUUCUUCAUUUACAACAAAUGAAUAACUCAACACCUUAAAGGGUACUUUGCAUCACCCUGAUCCAAAUUUCGGGCCACAGGCAAUAUACAUGAGGCUUAUCCAUCAAUUAAAAAAAAAUAGGAUUCUAGAUCAAAUUUACCUCCGUUUUAUAAUCUAUCAAAUAAUUUAGAUUACACAACGAAUAUCCCCUAGCAUUAAUUCAUUAGUUUAUAAAAUAAGCCACCAAAAUUAGAGUAUGAUAGAAUCGUGAAAUAAAGGCCCUUCGUAUAUCUUCAAACAAAGUGUUGCUUCAUAAUGGGAAAAGUAUAAUUGUACAAACAACAACAAUAAAAACAUGUCAAACCAAAACUAUUUGGAGUAAGCCACUCCUCAUUAAAGUCUAAAUCCUAAAUAAUUCACAAUAAUCAUUCAUAUAAAUAAUCCCACAAAAACACUGGUGAUUCUUCCCGUCUAUCCUAGCUUUGAUGGACAGAGUUUCGCGCGAAAGCUAGCUUGAACACUAGGAUACUAAAUCCCACAAAUUAAUAGAAACCUAUACUGAUGAUUCUGAAUUAGACUAAAUUCUGAAGCUAAAUUGAAGUAAAGGAAAGAACCUUUUGGAAGAAAAAUUGACAAAUCUUCAUACCUAAAUCCCAAGGGGUUUCAAGAAAGUUGCUUUGCAUUCUGAUAGAAAGCAGCAGAGCAUAAAAUUGAAGCAAUCAAAGCGAAAAUCCCCAACCCAAUCAUUAGGGAAAAUCCAGCUACCACCAAGUCCAUCAAACAUUGCAAGCUUAUUCCCAUCACCAACAUCUUCUUUUUUUCUCUCAAAAUAUCCUCAGCAAAACAAUGGGAAAUUCCUUUUGCUAUUUAUAGAUGGAUAAGAAUGGGUCUUUUGGCAUCCCGAGGCAGACCGCUUCUAGCUCAAACAAAGCAUGUGACGCAUAAUUGCAGAAAACGCAUCGGAAAGGUUGACAAAGGAUUAGCAAUUUACCAUUCUCAUCUUCGCUAUUAAUUUACGUGACAUUUUUUUAUUGAAAUAAAUAUAAAAUUAUAAAGGAAAAUACCAAUUCACAGACGAUGAAAAGAAGUCCUCAAAUCCUAAGUACACUAAGUGGGAUAAUUUUACUCAAAUAAUGUAAUAAGUGUAACACGA
RNAcentral lists this long non-coding RNA (3428 nucleotides) under Solanum lycopersicum (tomato). RNAcentral's name for it is "long non-coding RNA (SLYC_LNC001412)". The record is from RNAcentral. Lineage: Eukaryota; Viridiplantae; Streptophyta; Magnoliopsida; Solanales; Solanaceae.